UACGUAGGGGGCUAGCGUUGUCCGGAAUUAUUGGGCGUAAAGAGCGUGUAGGCGGUUCGGUAAGUCUGCCGUGAAAACCUGGGGCUCAACCCUGGGCGUGCGGUGGAUACUGCCGGGCUAGAGGGUGGUAGAGGCGAGUGGAAUUCCCGGUGUAGCGGUGAAAUGCGCAGAUAUCGGGAGGAACACCAGUAGCGAAGGCGGCUCGCUGGGCCAUUCCUGACGCUGAGACGCGAAAGCUAGGGGAGCGAACAGG
RNAcentral lists this ribosomal RNA (253 nucleotides) under uncultured bacterium. RNAcentral's name for it is "partial 16S ribosomal RNA". It matches the Rfam family "Bacterial small subunit ribosomal RNA", at positions 524 to 776 of the family's 1533-position model. The record is from RNAcentral.